CCUACGGGAGGCAGCAGUGGGGAAUAUUGCACAAUGGGCGCAAGCCUGAUGCAGCCAUGCCGCGUGUAUGAAGAAGGCCUUCGGGUUGUAAAGUACUUUCAGUCGUGAGGAAGGUGUUAAGGUUAAUAACCUUAGCAAUGGACGUUAGCGACAGAAGAAGCACCGGCUAACUCCGUGCCAGCAGCCGCGGUAAUACUGAGGGGGGGAGGGGGAAGCGGAAUUACUGGGCGUAAAGGGCACGCAGGCGGUUAAUUAUGUUGGAUGUGACAUCCCCGGGCUUAACCUGGGAAUGGCAUUCAAGACUGGUUAGCGAGAGUCUUGUAGAGGGGGGUAGAAUUCCAUGUGUAGCGGUGAAAUGCGUAGGGAUGUGGAGGAAUACCGGUGGCGAAGGCGGCCCCCUGGACAAAGACUGACGCUCAUGUGCGAAAGCGUGGGGAGCAACCAGGAUUAGAUACACUAGUCGUC
Molecule: ribosomal RNA, 465 nt
Filed under: uncultured Arsenophonus sp.
Lineage: Bacteria; Pseudomonadati; Pseudomonadota; Gammaproteobacteria; Enterobacterales; Morganellaceae
Description: bacterial SSU rRNA
Rfam family: Bacterial small subunit ribosomal RNA
Source: RNAcentral